This 912-nucleotide long non-coding RNA is filed under the name Homo sapiens (human). RNAcentral describes it as "HSALNT0322294". The record is from RNAcentral. Lineage: Eukaryota; Metazoa; Chordata; Mammalia; Primates; Hominidae.
ACACAACUUUAAAUGCUAAGAAAAAUAGCAGAAUUUGUAAAUGGGGAAGACUGUGACAAAUAUUUAGACUUCCAUGAUUGUAAGGGGCUGAAAGUCUGAAAGUAGGUGAAGAAUACAGACAACAAGCACUAUACGAUGGGUAGCCCAUGGCUUAAGCCUCAAAAAAAAAUUUUUCCAGAGUCACAAGAGGAUGGGAGAGGAGCAGUCUGCAAGCAGCCGUAGGAGCAAGACCUUGAGACGUGUCCAUCAAUGCUACGAUAGAUUCUGCUUUGGAGAUCAACAUGCUGUAUAUCACAAUAAUGAUGGGACUCACGGCAUGGAGGAUGGACAGAGGAGCUUUCUCCUGGAGUGGUAUUUCUGGAAUUUCUAGUGUCAGGUGCUACUUAAUAUCUCUCACAAGAAAAGAAGAAAUCCCUCUGCCUUUUAAUGUUCUGGGAAUAGAAAGAAUAAAGGAGACUGAGGUGAAUCCACCAAGGAGUAUAGCAAUUUCUAUUUGUCUCCUUAAUAGUCCAACACUUCACUCACACAACAAUGUUACGUAGUUUCAUCAAAUGAUGAGUCCAGCCCCUUUCUUCUGCAGAAAAUGUCAGUUCACUGCUCCUUGCCUACAAAAUAGAAAUUAGAGAGAUACCAGCUUUUCUAGCCAGACUACAAAAUUACUUUGACUAAAUCGCUAAAAAUUCAGCCUCUCUACCAAUUUCCACAAUACGUCUCAAAUGGUAACUUUAAUCUCUGUUUGUGCCUUUCAGGAAUCCAAUGAGCAAACAAUUCUUUCUCUAAAGCAACUCUCCCUUCAGCCCAUUGUGUUGUAGGUCUUUUCAGUCCCCUGAGAAACUCAUAAUUCCUGUAGCUGAUGUCCAUCUUCCCCAAAAUGUAUUACCAUUUAUUAUUUGCAUGUAUGUCCUUUUUCAU